UAUUAUUAUAAACUUUUUCUUUGAUCAUAACGCAUAUUCUAUAAUACUAAAGUUCUUAUUAUUUUUUAUGAUAUGAUUUUGAACUAGGCUAAUAUACUAUUAAUAACACCAAAUUAUUGGAGCUACAAAGUUUUUGGCCAUUGGAUUAAGAGAUGUGCGGUUAGAAUGAUACGGACCUUCUAGGGUUGAGUGGGUGGUUCCUUGAAUAGUAUGAUCUGACGGAUGAAAAUGAUUAAAAGGGUAGAUCUAAUGGCGAAAAACUUGGUAGCAUCAGUGCUUCAUGCUAUUAAUAGCAUAGUAGCCGAAUUCUAUGAUUUUUAUGUCAUUCAUUUUGUGUCAUAUUUUUAUCUAACUCUAGUUCAACUAAAAUUCUAUUUCAAGUUAGAAUGUGUUAGAGUAAAAGAUUAUUUUUAGGUGUAUUUUUUUUUUGAUAAAAAUUUUAAAAUAAAAAAGGCUAUUUU
This 461-nucleotide long non-coding RNA is filed under the name Ananas comosus (pineapple). RNAcentral describes it as "long non-coding RNA (ACOM_LNC004735)". Lineage: Eukaryota; Viridiplantae; Streptophyta; Magnoliopsida; Poales; Bromeliaceae. The record is from RNAcentral.